Molecule: transfer RNA, 71 nt
Filed under: Abronia graminea
Lineage: Eukaryota; Metazoa; Chordata; Lepidosauria; Squamata; Anguidae
Description: tRNA-Ser specifying UCN codons
Rfam family: tRNA
About the family: Transfer RNA (tRNA) molecules are approximately 80 nucleotides in length. Their secondary structure includes four short double-helical elements and three loops (D, anti-codon, and T loops).
Source: RNAcentral
GAGAAAGAAGUAUAAUGGAGAUGCAGUUGGUUUGAAACCAACAUAAGGUGGUUCGAUUCCCCCCUUUCUUG